AGGUCAGCAUACUAUGGUGAAUACGUUCCCGGGCCUUGUACACACCGCCCGUCACACCAUGAGAGUUGAGAAUACCCGAAGUCCAUGUCAAAGUGGCCGAAGGUAGGCUUGAUGAUUGGGGUGAAGUCGUAACAAGGUAGC
Molecule: ribosomal RNA, 141 nt
Filed under: uncultured bacterium
Lineage: Bacteria
Description: partial 16S ribosomal RNA
Rfam family: Bacterial small subunit ribosomal RNA
Source: RNAcentral